AGUGAACGCUGGCGGUAGGCCUAACACAUGCAAGUCGAACGGCAGCACAGGAGAGCUUGCUCUCUGGGUGGCGGGUGGCGGACGGGUGAGGAAUACAUCGGAAUCUACUCUGUCGUGGGGGAUAACGUAGGGAAACUUACGCUAAUACCGCAUACGACCUACGGGUGAAAGCAGGGGAUCUUCGGACCUUGCGCGAUUGAAUGAGCCGAUGUCGGAUUAGCUAGUUGGCGGGGUAAAGGCCCACCAAGGCGACGAUCCGUAGCUGGUCUGAGAGGAUGAUCAGCCACACUGGAACUGAGAGCAGGUCCAGACUCCUACGGGAGGCAGCAGUGGGGAAUAUUGGACAAUGGGCGCAAGCCUGAUCCAGCCAUACCGCGUGGGUGAAGAAGGCAUUCGGGUUGUAAAGCCCUUUUGUUGGGAAAGAAAUCCAGCUGGCUAAUACCCGGUUGGGAUGACGGUACCCAAAGAAUAAGCACCGGCUAACUUCGUGCCAGCAGCCGCCGUAA
RNAcentral lists this ribosomal RNA (506 nucleotides) under uncultured bacterium. RNAcentral's name for it is "partial 16S ribosomal RNA". It matches the Rfam family "Bacterial small subunit ribosomal RNA", at positions 29 to 523 of the family's 1533-position model. The record is from RNAcentral.